UACGUAGGGUGCAAGCGUUGUCCGGAAUUAUUGGGCGUAAAGAGCUCAUAGGUGGUUUGUCGCGUCUGCUGUGAAAUCCCGAGGCUCAACCUCGGGCUUGCAGUGGGUACGGGCAGACUAGAGUGCGGUAGGGGAGAUUGGAAUUCCUGGUGUAGCGGUGGAAUGCGCAGAUAUCAGGAGGAACACCGAUGGCGAAGGCAGAUCUCUGGGCCGUAACUGACGCUGAGGAGCGAAAGCAUGGGGAGCGAACAGG
RNAcentral lists this ribosomal RNA (253 nucleotides) under uncultured bacterium. RNAcentral's name for it is "partial 16S ribosomal RNA". It matches the Rfam family "Bacterial small subunit ribosomal RNA", at positions 524 to 776 of the family's 1533-position model. The record is from RNAcentral.